ACUGCUAUUACGAUCAUAUUGCGAUUCGAUUUCUAUUCGAUUUUGACAUUAUUAACUUAGGAGAAUCGGGGCCCAGGGGAUUAAUUCUGCGAAUUUUACUUAAUCAACUUACGAUUGAUAUCCAACUAAGAUUCAGUCACGUCGCAUUCAGCAAUGUUUUGUUUUUAAUAAACGUUUUUAUCCUUUUCUGUGAUUCAAUCAUGCAUUUUAUUGUCCGCAAAUGAUUUACGAUUUUAGAGCAGACUAUCCUAUAAUCUAAAGGCAGACCAAUGGCAAUGCAAUGUCAUUGGAAAACGAUUGGUCUUAUAUUAGUAGCAGAAUUCCCGUUAAGGUUAAAACUGCUAUUGCGAUUAGAUUGUUGUCCAAUUGUCACAUUAGCCGAAUCGGGCAACUGAUUACGUACUGACGAGGGUAUAGUUAUAAUCUAUGGAUAUAAUAAUAUUAUGUCUAUGGAUAUUGACGUGACUUCCCGACGCGCGACGCUCGCGCUGCUGGUAGUUUCCCAACCAUAGAGUUAAUGGUGAUAAUAUUAAUUUCCUUAGAUAUCGCUUCAUUGCCUCAUUCUUGUUUCUUCUUCAUAAAAACACUGUAAAUAAAAUAUUUUUGGCCCAUCAUAGAGUCUUGAUAUGUAUAUACUAAGAAAUGUUCCUGCAAGAGAGACAAAACAAUUGUUUUUUGUCGUUCAUGUGGCUACUACUGCAAUGGAAGAAUUCGCCUGAUAUGUGAAAAGCAUCCUCGCGUAACGUUCCUCUUGGAUAUAGCAGAAUG
Molecule: long non-coding RNA, 768 nt
Organism: Helicoverpa zea (corn earworm)
Lineage: Eukaryota; Metazoa; Arthropoda; Insecta; Lepidoptera; Noctuidae
Exons: 3
Source: RefSeq, a predicted model, not a curated record